UUAAUUCACUUGAGUAAGGGUCCUCGAGCCUAUUCCAGGUAAACAUGCACACAAAUCGUUUACAAACAAAGACUCUCCGUUUUUAGGUGGGAGUGCAAUUUUGCUGCGGUGUGGGGGCAGAUGGGUGGUCAUUCUCAGCUGGAGGAGCAAAUGAGAAUUCCCACCAUGACGAAAGCGAGCUUCAUCUCAACUGAGAGAAAUAUUGGAGAGAUUUGGAAGCAAAUUUUAAUCGAGUCAAUGGCCAAAGCAGGACGGGAGGAGAAAAGAAUAGCAGAGGAAAUGGGGAGCUAUAAUGAAGGCGGUCACACAAGCAUGCAAACUCAGGUGUUGCCACCGGCUACAUAGGUGUGCGAAAUAAGUAUUGCCAUGCCUGUGCACGAAACAUCUUGUUUCCGCAACUGGAACAAGUCAUCUUCUGAAAUGGAGACAGACAUUAUCCUGCGGUACAUAUACAUACAUAAAUGUUCCAGGGUGGGGACAUGCCAUCAAGAAGCUGGAAUGCGGUACAAGGGAACUGGUGGACUUACGCUGAAAACAAGAAAGCGACUGGUUUCUGGUUUCUGGUUUCUGCUGCUCGUACGGAGAGCGACCCGAAGAAGGCCCUGAUAUCACUCAAACGUGACUUGUUUUGGCCCUGACUUUUGUAAGACAGCGCUCUCAUCCGCAACAAUAUCUCCCUCGCUCACUCAGUCCACAUCUCAACCGUUAACUUCCAGCGUAGACAAUGAUGAGCGUAGACAAUGAUGACAUGCUUGAUGGUGAGUUCAGACCUACAGAAUAAAAACAUAACAUUAAUUGAGGCAAGUGUAAAUAUGUAUUGAUAUUAAUCACAGGUCGACAAGGUGGACACACACCAACAAACGUGGACCCGCGACUUUACUAUGACAUUCAGGUACAACUUGUGAGCAACUGGCAGAAUGUGCAUAUUCGUGCUAAAUUUGAUGGUGGGAAGGUCAUCUUGGGAACACAGAUGCAUGGGAGCAGGGCUUAGGCAGAACCUUGGAAGAAAAUGGGGACCACAGACCUGGGAACAGAUCGAUGCCAAAUAAAGUAUUCUCUGAUGCAAAGAAAAAGCAAGUACACUAAAAUAGAUAACUCUUACACUAGGCAUGACGAAGGAGUUUCUCCGGAUGAAAUAACUGAAGACAUUUCCUCGCAGAGACUUGAAAAGUUGAAAACAAGCUUUUACCAGGCACAAGCACAAACAAUUGAGAAGAAAACAAGACAACGGAAGUAUGAGAGGGAAGUAUGAGAGAAGGAAAAGAAUUACAGCAUCGAGAGUGGGAGGAAUAGCAAAGAGACGACGUCCACAUUUAGAGGCAACGAAGCUACACGUUAUGGCUUGCUUAAUAGAAGUUAAGACUUGUUCAUUUCAGUUUCAGAGCACAACAAUUGGCUGGCAGCGACUCCAGAUGGUUUAGUUAACGACCCAAGCGAAACAUCCCAUCCUCAGAAAUAUCCCAUCCUCAAGGACUAGUUGAGGUUAAAAAUCCUUGAGAUUAAAAAUCCUUUUUCUGCUAACAGAAGCAAGUCAAGUUUCUGUACAUGACUACUAUUAUCAAAUACAGUACUGUACUGACACACAACGGUGUGCAAAGACAUUCACAUCGAGCGUAUCAACAGAGACAAUAUCAACAGAGACAAUAGGUGGUUACAACUAUCAAAAUUAAGGAACUUUUAUCUUUCGUCAGAGUUAGCUUGCCCCAUCAGGGAUCAUCAUAAAAUCAUCAUAAUUCACCUAUCACUGAACAACCUACUUACCUAGUACUACAGUGCAGUAGCUGCUGCUAGCAUACAGUUUUGUGUGGCCAUACACGUGAUUAUAUGCCACAGGAAUGUACAAAUAAUGAUAUUUCAUACAAGGUUUGGAUGCGUGGGUGAAACACUAUACCGUAACCUACACCCUCCGGUGGAUCAUAGUAAGUUCUCUUCGACACUCUCGACCACAAAAUACAAGCUUGGAACUCCUUCUAGUUCUACGAUCCAUUGUGCACUAUUGAAGAUAAAUUGGAAACCACUCCCCUUUUCUCUGAGAAAGGGGUGUGGUUUCCAUGGCACAUGAUCUCAAUGUCCACGUGACUUUGGCAUGGCAUCAUGGCAUGCAGCUGGCCAUGGACUAGCGCUAGCUAGUUACUCUUAGGCUCUACGGCUACUUUAAUUCUAGUCAGCAUGGCUGGAGGUAGGCGCUACUCGGCUGAAGAUUUGGCGGCCAGGAUCACUUCAGACUUACCUCCAACUGACAGAAGGUAAAUUGUAGUUAUUGCUUCUAACUGUCACCCCACAUACGUAUAUAGACUAGAUGUAAAUACAUUGGGGUAUUAUCCUUUCUGUAGUUAUAGCGCCAGAAAAAUUAGCGCAUAAUUAUGACUAUGGGUGGCGCUGUUAUUUAGUAAUGUACAGGCAGUUUGUACAGGCAGUUACGGUCACUAACCAGAGCUUGUAUGAAGGUACUUAUCAUGGCGAUGCAGAUGACCAUUGAGCGGUUCAUCGCCGCUGAAUGAAUUGUUGGUGGUGGCUCCUUUCAGAAACUCUCGAUUGACCUCUAGUGAAUCCUCUCAGCAUCUCGUAUCACUCAUCCAGGAGCAGCAAGAAGCGCUUGCAAAAAUUCUUGAUAACCAGAAAAUAAUGGAGACAAAGCAGAAUGGGUUUGAAAAACAGUUAGUGGAGCCUCACCUGACAGCAGCAGCAGUAGCAGGAUAACCCGAGAUUUAAUGGUACGUUCCUGCAACCCAUCCAUUAUGUGAGAUGAACUCUUUUUUUUUAGUUGCUCUCAGUCCCUUGUACUUGAGGAUAGUGGUUUCAAUCCGUCUGAAGGGUAUGUCUGGUUUUUACUACUAAAGUUAUAUAUAUAAGCACAUUCUCUGGACAAGCGAGCUAUUUCUCUGCAAUGAAUUCUCGUACACGGGCACGUGACAUAUGGCACAAAAAUUAAUUUUGUCCAAAAUAUGCAAUCUUAGACUCCAAUGUCGGAAAGUGAGAACUUUAGUGUCCAAACAACUGCAUUAUUGCGUCAUGUCGCUAUGACGCCACAGACGCAUUUUUGCGGCAGCUGCAGUUGCACGUCUUCUUUUUGCAAGAUCUACAAAGGAGGAGGAGCUGCUGCUUGCACGAGCACUGCUAAGAAUGACUGUGGAUGAGGUGACAUAAUUAUUGUCCGAUGAUGAGGACGAAGAUGAACCUAUGAGGGAAGGGAGUGACUAUGAAUUUGCAGAUCUAGAGUCUGACGACGAGGAAUAUGAUCUUAUCAACUAGUGUCUAAAGAGUGAACUUGACCAAGAUUAAAACACAAGUGCUUUUCAAGAUCUCAUAAUACCCCAUACCCUAAUCACGACAACCUGCGUUGACAUUGAGAGAUGUUAGAGUGAGCCGGUAGAGCCGGGCUGAGACUGGUACAGGUAGUGUGUGCAAAAGAUCCCUCGAGAAGACAAUUGACUCUAACGCCAAAGCUGCUAUUUCAGCUGAUUGCAGCGAAUACCUGUAUAUUGUGGUUGAGAGUAUAUGAAGCUUUGUUUGCUCUGGUGGCAGUAUACUACUGCUUUGACAGGGCGGAUAUACUUAUGGAGCGGAUAUACUUAUGGACGACAGUCAACAUCUUCCUUCUAUUGCGAAGUCCAGUCUCUGGACAACUCGUGUGUAAUAGUGUGUACUCACUCACCAGAGGACUUUUGCUAAUGAGUUAUUCCCGUAUUGCAUUCCUGCAGCAUGACAGGAUGUCACGCCCACAUGAUAUUUGUGAUGACUCAGCAGAUAUUUUAUGCACUGUCAGCGCUAUUUUGUCUCGGCAUUUCUACUAGUCUAUCUAUCUUAGUAUCAGUGUUACAUUAGCGCAUAAGUUUAUAGCUCCUAUGACAAUGCUAUUCAUUUUCUUAUGUCUUCUUAUGUCACAGGAUAGCAUUAUUUAUAACUACUGUGGAACUGUGGAGUACUAUGAUCGUUUGUAGUCUUUUAGCUAGCACUCACAACUCCUCCGUGAAACUUGAUGAUAAAUUAUGACGCGAGGCCACACCUCCUCCAGGUAAAUGUGGGUGUUACAUCCUGUCAUGCUGCAGGAAUGCAGUAACUCAUUAGCCGUACCUCCUCUGGUCCCAGUUGCAAACCUACCUCAAGUACAUACGCGUCUUACAUUUGUAUACGUACAGAUUUUGCUGGGCAUGGAUUUUUCGAUUUUAUGCGCUAUAUAUAGUUGAGGCUGUAUAACUCACAGUAGCUAUAUAGACGUGUCUGCUAACGUUUUGAGGACUAUUAAAAAUCAUGGGGCCCUUGGUAUGAGGCAGAUAAUUAUGAAGGAAGGUAUGUGCUCAGUGGAGUGAAAAGUUAAGGCUACUCCUAGAGUGACUAGAACAUCGAUAUCUCGCUUCGAAGUGGAUGAAGUAUGUAGCUUCUUGCAAGAGAAAGGAUAAAAAGUUUGAAGACGAACUGAUCGAUGGAAAUGAUGGAAAUGCGCUUAGCACAGAUGAUGGAGACAUGCAGCUAUAUGCAUAGCUAUAAAGCGCCCAGUGUUUAAUAUAGUAACUCAAACAAUCAACUCGGGUAGCAGUUCCCUUUCCGAAAUUCUACACGACAAGAUAUUGGAUGUCAACUAGGACCAGGAUCAUUCAAACCUUGGGUGAUCAAGUUUGUGACAAACCUAACCCAUAUGUUGUGAAGAAGUAUCCAGACUGCAAUGGGGAAAUGGAAUAGUAAGUUGCAAUAAUCGGAUAUGCGGUCUGGUGUAACAUUGUUAUGACUUGGUACGGGGAUAGCAGGGAUAGAUCUAUGUGUGCGUGCGUGCGCAUCACUGCCGUAAGUGCCUGCUGUACGGUUGCAAUGGACGUACAAGUAAUACCGUAUAGCGGGAAAUUUUCGCGGGUGCAAAUUUUCGCUAUUUGGCUCCCAGAGCCCUUAGCAGAAAUUUUCGCGGUUUUAAUUUUCGUGUCAAUGCCAAUAAACCACACCCACCAAUAGGUUUUGCACCUGCGUAUACCGGUGCGUGGGAGUUUAUCCCAGUUUUAAUUUUCGCGUUGACUACUCUGCCCUCGAAAAAACGCGAAAAUUUGCACCCCACGAAAAUUUCCCGCUAUACGGUAUAGCUUCCACUUUUUCUUCACUUGUGGAUUUACUUCGUUUUCGAGUUAUGGCUUGUUUUUGUUGUUUUUGUAAGGCCUUUUGCAGUCUCUAGACUCGUGCAUGCAUAACUAGAUAGAUCUGCACUACACACUACAUCGCUUAGCUAUUCAUUUUUACUUGCCUCGCAGAUGUCUAGUAGCUUUACAUAGUCAGCGCAGGAAAACACAGCUGAGAAAGUGGUUCUAUAACAAGCGGAUGCCAUCGAAAAAUGGUCAUUUGCAUGCAUAUUUUUCUAGGGCCCCCUACGAAAAAAAGGAAGGCAAAUGCUACUCAUCCUGAUUGUGAGGACACAGAUAAGGACACAGAAUACAGAAUAAAUUAAUGGAAUCAUCGUAUUGCGGAAGAAGACGUUGAUAAAACAAACAUGUCCUGCACUUUCAGAGCAUAAUUAUUGGCAUGAAUUGCAGCUAUGCUUCGCUGCAUGCAAAAACCUUUAGUGAGAUGGCUGGGGGAGUGCACGAGCUUGCUAGCAAAAGGCAGAAAUCAGCAGUUUUGAAGGUGGUGGUGUUACAUAUAUAAUCGGCCUUUGUGUUUGGGUGCAGGUACUGAACAUUUAUAUACUGCAAUUUUUUUAGCAGCUACGAGUAACGAUUAAUAUUUGGACGUGUUACAGAGAUUCAGUAGCAUGUUAAUUUUACAAGUGGUGCAUGAACCUGUGCUGAAUUAGGGCAUUAAUGUUUACACCAUGGGAAGCAGCCCAUACUAGCAACUGCCAACCGGAAAACUUUGAAAGUAUGUAUCUCGGUGAGCAUAUGAUCUCGGUGAGCAUAUGCGUGUUUGCGGUGUUUGCGAUUAUAAUACCGGCCUUUUUCGCCAUAAUGCAAGCAUACGUUUAUAUACACAGCUGUAACCUUACGUACAUGUCCGAAGCUAUUUCAACUGAUCGCAGCAAAUACCCCUACUUGGCUCUGUCAAUCUGUCAAUCAGCAACACACAUUUGUGGUGAGAGGACAAUGGUUGCAUAUAGCAAAGAUGUAUACGAAGCUCUGGUGGCAGCUGCUUUGUAGGUCUGGGAACGAGGCUAGUGUGUAAUCAACCAUAGCUAUACUCUGACUCUGCCAUGCAGUAUAAUGUGGUUAAAUAUUGGAUGGUUGUUUUGUUGCCGACUUUCCAUAAUUGACAGUAUAAUUAUAGUGUAUCAAUAAGCCGUCUCUCUAUGGCUAAUGUAAUUAUAAUGCUGUGAAAGAAAUAAUGCUGUGAAAGUGCUGUGAAAGAAUUCAAAUUAAGUCUUUUGUGUCUUUUUCCGGCCGCACUACUGACUAUUUUCAAAAAAUUGUUGUGUUGGAGCUAUGCACACGCUGUAGGUACCAGCUCUUUCACGUGGUAUAUUCUUUCACGUGGUAUAUUUAACAGUACUGCUGAAAGAAAAGUGACCGUAAUCUUCUUAGUACGAGUGAGGAGAACGAUGAUUAUGGCCGAGGACAGUGACUGGGAUCAUAGCUAGAUAAGAAACUACCUCAACCUGAUGAAGAAGAUCGGACUAAGUUCCUGGAUGUGGUAAGUCUAGAGUAGCAUCUGUAGCUUCAGUAUAAACUGUAUUUAGGACUGUGUGUACGUCUGCCGACAGACAAGUUUCUGCUGAUACCAUGAGAACAUUGAGAAGUCACUUUGUGCCAUAUUGUAUAAUUGGUAAACAAUCGCUGGGAUAGUCAGUUGCUAGGUAAUAAUGAUGGUGUCAAGAUACCUCUGGUACCUCUGGGGUCUGCGCUACAAGUCAUUUCAAUGUAUUGUUCAAUUUAAAAAACUUUCUGCAUUUUCUUUUUUUAAUUAAAACGGGUAAAAGAUGGCAGAGUUGUAUGGUUAUAUUUAGACACCCUAAGGCAACUGCCUUACCAAGGGGAAUGGGUCAAGAAGCCCAACCCAACCCAUAUUUCACACCAGGUAAGUAAGCUGCGCCAAGAAGGCAUCGGGAUCUCCGGUACAGGAGACUUAUUUUCUGGCUUCUUCGAAGGCGGCCACGUGAAAGUGAGAACAGUGAGAGAACAGUGAGAGUGACUACGUACCUGAGCUGUUCACAUAUAAUAGUGACGAUGACAGUGACUGUAUACUGUUAUACCAUGCAUUAAUUUUACGUAGUUAGAUGAAUUCGUAGCUGGAUUGCUUGGCGGUCAUGUCUUGUUAUCAGAACAGUCUUAUAAUUUAUAAUAGAUUGCUUACUUGUAUGGAUCUGUUCUUCAUACAGCUGCCUGUCUGAUCGUGGCCUUUCACUUAGUAUUCGUCUAUAUGCUAGAUCCAACAGCAGUAUUGGUAUCACGAGUAUUGGUAUCACGCUGUGAAAUUGUCGCUAGAAUGGAUAUUGGCUAGAAUGUAAGUGACAUUGAUAUUGUGUCUAUCUCGGUUUAUGAAGACAAAUCUGAAGUAUACAGUAACUCUAGAUAAAUCUUUUCAUACUGAGCCUAUUAACUGAUCAUGACGUAACGUUGUAUUUAGUCCGUAGAAAACAGCUUCGACUUUUGAUAGUACAAGUUAUAGUACAAGUUAUAUUACAAGUUAGGUAGAUCUACAAGAUGAUCUGCUUCUGUCAAGCGGUAAGUAGUAGUUGCUUUGUUACAUGAUUAAUACUUAGUAUUAUAGGAUAUAGGACGUAGCUGUAAAGUGUGUAAGAUCGGUGUCACACCAGUACUACACCAGUACUGAAAUAGCACAGUGUGACCCUCACAUCUAGCACACCCAUUGCACGUCACACCAAAACUGGUGUGUGUGUGUAUUGGGACACACCAAAUUUGGUACAUUACACUAAUGUUUGUGUUGUUGGUCAACAAACGUAAUAUGAACAAACGUAAUAUGUACCCUGGCUCACCUCUCUGUUCACUGUGCAUACGUGGCUUUGUCCGUAUUGAUCUAAGCUUGAUCCAACUUAUUAGUAGCCAAGCUUUCCUCCUUUAAUUGCCUAGUAGUAACAGGCCUGAUGGGAUGGGUGAUCACAUCAUGGAGGGCCCAGGAAACUGCGUGGAAUUGUCGUAUAACAUUUAUAUUGAUGGUGCCUGAGAAACGCUAGUCUAUUGGCUAGAAUGUCUAUCUUAACUUACUACUUAUCUGUAGGUUGUUAUGGAGAGGACAAGUGGCACGGGAUACGUACAUCUAAAGAAACAAGAGUGGAUCUACGCCAGCUCUGUUGCUAUAAUAUACCUGGCUCCUCUUGAGUACUGGGCUGAUGAAAUAGUCCUGUACAAGUUGUCAUCUUUUAUUCGUUAAAAAUAAUUAACAAUAAUAGGGAAAUUCCCUGGGAAUUUCCCUCACGUAGACAGUAAAUUUCAUUGUAAAAAAUGAACGUUCGGUGAGUUUCUUCAAACCCAAAUUUUUACAGGUAGGUAGUUUAAGUUAGCACCUGUGAAAAAAAAAUUUUUUUGCCAUGUUUUUCAUUUCUACUAAAUUGGCGUCGAAUCUCGUGCUUUGUGUUGUGUCCGUAGUGAUUCACCGUUUCCCGAGCCACGUGGUCUGAAGCUCAUGGCCCUGCAACGCCAUUUACAUGGACUACUCGAAAGCUGAAUUCUUCGCUGAGGAAAGACCAUGUGUGUCUGGCCGUGUAGUGUGUUCUGGUAACUCAGCAAGUAGAAAUAUGUUGAAAAUGAGGAAAUCAAGAUUUCAUCAGCUGAUGGUGGUGGUGGUGAUUCUGCUUAAUCCAAAGAACAAAGGAGGUGAAGUACUGGUCAACGACAUCGACAUGAAAACGACAUCGACAUGAAGGAAGUUUUUACAUCAGUAGACGCUAAACUGUGUCAUACUUUUCUGAAUACACUGAAGGAUACGAUACUUUGUUUGGGUACAUACCCCCAGGUCACGGAAUGAAAGGGGAAUGAAAGGAAAACAGGAAAAGAACUAAUAUGGCUUAAGUGCAGGCCAACAAGGAAGCGAGAGGAGUACCCUGAGUCAAAACGGCCAAGUCCUGCUCACACGUCUUCAGAAAACAAUUCUCAGACAUAAAAAAAUUUUGAGUACAAUUUGAAGAGUAAGAAACAGUGGCGUGCGUGUAUUGAGUAUUGACUGUUACUGAAUGUUACUGAAUUUGAUUACUGAAUUUGAUUAUGAUGGGCCAGGUAUUAUGUGGCCAUGCAAUAAUUUUGUGGGUGUAUCCACUGUGAUUUAUCCAACCAUUGCACUUUGAACUUGUCACCUGUUUAGACCUUCCUGUAUGAUAUGCACAGGGCUUUCAAAUA
Molecule: long non-coding RNA, 9263 nt
Organism: Halichondria panicea
Lineage: Eukaryota; Metazoa; Porifera; Demospongiae; Suberitida; Halichondriidae
Exons: 5
Source: RefSeq, a predicted model, not a curated record